Molecule: long non-coding RNA, 1949 nt
Organism: Mus musculus (house mouse)
Lineage: Eukaryota; Metazoa; Chordata; Mammalia; Rodentia; Muridae
Product: predicted gene, 41668
Exons: 3
Source: RefSeq, a predicted model, not a curated record
UUCCAUAUGUCCCUGGCCAUCCUCAGCUUCAUGUCUGCUCCAUUUCCUACCAGCACCCUGACUAAAAACCAUUCAGGUCAAAAUUAGGAAAUGACUGUGUGACAUUAGGACCCAGGAGCCCCCAAGGAGCAGAUUAUGGCCAUGACAUCAUAAACACACAAUGUCUCAGGAACAGUGAGGUGAUGCCUAAGAGAAAGCACUGACUCACAGGCAGCAUGACCUGACAGGGUCGAGGGGAAAGCAAGACAGAAUGAACCACCCAUUCAACAUCAGCUGCUACUCAGCCAACUGCAGUGUGGACGCUCCAAGUCUUCCCCUAGCUGGGUAUCCAACUCCUCUCCCAGACUCAGCUUAACCCACACCAUCUCUCACUUCUCCUUCUCAGCUUCCUCAGCUCCUCUCCUUCCCCUGGAUUACUCCUGCCUCAUCAUGAAGUUCAGACAGUGUUUCCUUUGUAAAAUGUCCUCUGGCUGGGCUCAACACUGGCUGGUGUACAUUCCAGUGACCUUCAGGCCUUUAACUUCAACGGAACAGAGAGACACAACCACAUUCACAGCACAGCACAAAGCUGUUCUGGUCUCUGUGCCUGGCAGUGGCUGAGCACCAGCCACAGGCAUCUUGUCGUUGCGUGAGUUCUGCCAUUUGCAAAAGGAAUAGCUCUUAGCAACCUCCAACCAGGGUCUUGUUGACAUAUAAGGAGACGGUCUCUACUGUGCAGACAUUUCUAAUCCUCACAGGAACAACAUCUGUGUUAUACGAUCCAGAAUGUCUUACUGUGAGCAGUUUCUAUGAGGAUCACAUUCACUAUGGAAACCAAAAGCAGCCUCAAGCUUCUGCUCCCUCUGCCCAUCCUCCAGCUGGAAUUGUAUGCAGCCACCGCCACACCCAGGUCAAGUGGUGUCAGGAAUUGAAUCCAAGACUUCAUGCACAGUGGGCAAGAACUCAACUGAGCCACAUCCCUGUCCCUGCUCUCUUCCAGUUAGGUUUAACAAGCAGUCACACUGUGCUACGGGUACUAUUACUACUACUUUUGCUUUACAGGCAAUGGAGCAGGUUUUAAGAAACUGGAACGUCUGCAUCCACAAAAGGGCAGGGCUAGCGCUGGACCCGGGUGAGGGUUGCCAGUCCCUGGACGUUCUUCUAUGCAACCCAGCUUCCCGGCACGAAUGUGGGAGGUGGGAGGAAUGCAAGGUCUUUCCACAUUCCAACACAGCAGAUGGAGCAAGGGAAAACUGAUAGGAUAAUGCUGUCAGUCAUUCUGUCUUCUCUCCCUCCAUCCCGACAGCAGCUUUGUACCCAUGCUGGGAAAUAAGGCCCGGGGCCGACUGCAAAUAUCGAACACACUUAGCAACAGAGAAGACUAGUGAGAUCAAAGUCUGACUUAGAACAAGGUGCUGGGCCCUGAGGAUGACAGAGUCUCCAUCUCUGGCUGGGGGAGAGCAGUGAGAAGGCAGGCAUGAGGGAAUGUGCAUGAACUUGGGCUUCACAGCAAACACAUUACAGUAUUUUUUUCUUCCUUAUUUUCCGUUCCCACUGGAAAAGGCAGUAGACAGCUCCAAGCUACGCACUGCUUGGUCGUCUUCCCUACAGAAAAACUUCCAUUCAAGAUGCAUCUCUGUGCUCUACGCAGAGCACCAGCCCUCCGUUGACAACCCAUAGGCCUGGACAGUGCUUCUCCACCUUCCUAAUGCUGUGACCCUUUAAUUCCUCAUGCUGUAGUAAUCACCAACCAUAAAAUUAUUUCCACUGCUAAUUCAUAACUCUAAUGUUGCUACUACUAGGAAUCGCAAUAUAAAUAUUUUUGGAGACAGUUUUGCCAAAGGGGUUGUAACCCACAGGUUGAGGAUCACCGGGGAGAUAAAGACUAGGUUGCCUGCCUUCAGUGUGGCAACGGCAUUGCCGCUUCGUUUAUAUGGUUAGUUCCAGGCCAGCCAAGGAUACGUAGUGAA